This 523-nucleotide ribosomal RNA is filed under the name Capnocytophaga granulosa. RNAcentral describes it as "bacterial SSU rRNA". It matches the Rfam family "Bacterial small subunit ribosomal RNA", at positions 380 to 907 of the family's 1533-position model. Lineage: Bacteria; Pseudomonadati; Bacteroidota; Flavobacteriia; Flavobacteriales; Flavobacteriaceae. The record is from RNAcentral.
AGACUGAACCAGCCAUGCCGCGUGCACGAAGAAUGCCUUAUGGUGUGUAAACUGCUUUUAUAUGGGAAGAAUAAGGAGUACGCGUACUUUGAUGACGGUACCAUAUGAAUAAGCAUCGGCUAACUCCGUGCCAGCAGCCGCGGUAAUACGGAGGAUGCGAGCGUUAUUCGGAAUCAUUGGGUUUAAAGGGUCUGUAGGCGGGCUAUUAAGUCAGGGGUGAAAGGUUUCAGCUUAACUGAGAAAUUGCCUUUGAUACUGGUAGUCUUGAAUAUCUGUGAAGUUCUUGGAAUGUGUAGUGUAGCGGUGAGAUGCUUAGAUAUUACACAGAACACCGAUUGCGGAGGCAGGGGACUAACAGACGAUGGACGCUGAGAGACGAGAGCGUGGGGAGCGAACAGGAUUAGAUACCCUGGUAGUCCACGCUGUAAACGAUGGAUACUAGCUGUUUGGAGUAAUUUGAGUGGCUAAGCGAAGUGAUAAGUAUCCCACCUGGGGGAGUACGCACGCAGUGUGAACUCAAACG